CUCAUACUCCCGCCGUCCCAAAAUUCUUGUCUUAGAUUUGUCUAGAUAUGAAUGUAUCUAGUCACAUUUUAGUAUUUUGAUACAUCCAUUUUUAGAAAAAUCUAAGACAAGAAUUUUGGGACGGAGGGAGUAACAU
Molecule: microRNA precursor, 136 nt
Filed under: Hordeum vulgare
Lineage: Eukaryota; Viridiplantae; Streptophyta; Magnoliopsida; Poales; Poaceae
Description: microRNA MIR1122
Rfam family: MIR1120/MIR1122 microRNA precursor family
Source: RNAcentral